This 298-nucleotide signal recognition particle RNA is filed under the name Rattus norvegicus (Norway rat). RNAcentral's name for it is "Metazoan signal recognition particle RNA". It matches the Rfam family "Metazoan signal recognition particle RNA". Rfam says of the family: The signal recognition particle (SRP) is a universally conserved ribonucleoprotein. It is involved in the co-translational targeting of proteins to membranes. The eukaryotic SRP consists of a 300-nucleotide 7S RNA and six proteins: SRPs 72, 68, 54, 19, 14, and 9. Lineage: Eukaryota; Metazoa; Chordata; Mammalia; Rodentia; Muridae. The record is from Rfam by way of RNAcentral.
GCCGGGCGCGGUGGCGCACGCCUGUAGUCCCAGCUACUCGGGAGGCUGAGACAGGAGGAUCGAUUGAGUCCAGGAGUUCUGGGCUGUAGUGCGCUAUGCCGAUCGGGUGUCCGCACUAAGUUCGGCAUCAAUAUGGUGACCUCCCGGGAGCGGGGGACCACCAGGUUGCCUAAGGAGGGGUGAACCGGCCCAGGUCGGAAACGGAGCAGGUCAAAACUCCCGUGCUGAUCAGUAGUGGGAUCGCGCCUGUGAAUAGCCACUGCACUCCAGCCUGGGCAACAUAGCGAGACCCGUCUCU